CGAGGAGAAUUUGUUAUUCAUCAUGUCUCACCUAACCAGGAACCAACCACUUGUCAUGUAUAAAAACUAGCAUGUACCCUACACUCUGCUUGAGCACAAAAGUUAUAAAUAGGCUAUUUAGAUGCAUCAUUGUACAUAUUCAGAUACCAUCGAUACAAAGAAAUAAAACUAUUGUUUAUAUAGUUUGCUUCGUUUAGAGAAUGGUGUAUAAUUUAAG
RNAcentral lists this long non-coding RNA (217 nucleotides) under Elaeis guineensis (African oil palm). RNAcentral describes it as "long non-coding RNA (EGUI_LNC032849)". Lineage: Eukaryota; Viridiplantae; Streptophyta; Magnoliopsida; Arecales; Arecaceae. The record is from RNAcentral.